GUGGGGGACGGGGCAGAAGAAAGAGAGACACAGAAUCAGAAGCAGGCUCCAGGCUCUAAGCAUCUGGCAUUUGCUGUUAAAGCAAAGGAAAAGGAAGAACAUGGCAAUUCUACUAAUGAAUUGUUAGCUGUCUCACCCUUGGGGUUGGCGCAGAAGACAUGCAAUGUUCUAGAAAGUGUUAAGGUGGUUGAAUGGGGGCCUCUCUUGGAAAAGAAAUCUUUAAAUUCAGUUUGAUUCAGAUACCUCUUCUACUGCUUUUCACACCUUAUAGAUAUGCCCAAGAGUCCUGCCUGGGCUUCACUUGCAGUUUUUUUAAUGAAAAACCUCAGCAAUAGGUUUCACUGUGACAUAGAAUUGAUUUUCUUUGUCAGUGUCUAUCAUUUUGACAAUCACAGCUUGGGAGGCCUGCUGAGCUGUCAGAAAACGGACUCAUCUUCGCAUUACUUUAACCAAAACAGUUACGGUUUCUAAAACUUUAAAUUAGAUUCCUAUGUCGGUCCCAACUUACACUGCCACCAAAUGCAUUAGACUAGCAUUUCUGAAUUGCAAAUAACCCUUUCCCCCCCGUGGAUGUAUUUUUAUCCAGGGCGAUAUCCCUUUAACUCAAGGCUUGAAAAAUGAAGCCCAUGUGAUUUUAAGAAGAUGAACACACUUUUAAGUGGUGAAGCAUGUUGUAGCUUAAAAAAAGAAAAAACAUAGCCUUCCAAGAGAAUCAUCUCUCCAGUAACAAAAAAAAAAACCAAGAAACAAACAAACCAAAAAAACCCAAUCUUGACUGAUAGCUCUUUUCAAGUGCAAAUGAGGGAGCUGACAGCAAGGAGAGGUUUGAAAUCCUCAUUUGGUUGGAUGGUAGUUUGCUCUUUUAACGUAAAUAUUGAUGCGCAGUAUGGUUUUCCCUGUUGCAAAUCACUCAUGCAUGCAAAUAUGCUCAGAAUUUAAUACACAUGUGCGCUGUUCCUUUCCUAAAUCCCCUAUUCUUUUCCUUAUAACGCCCUUCUCAGCGGAGCAGAGAGCAUGUGAUUUUAAGCACGUCAAUUUUAAGACAGCAGCUCUAAAGAGCACCCAAAAAAUCUGCCCAGAAGCCAACGAAAGAGCCAAUAUGUUUACAUAAGUGAAGGUCUCAUCGUUUCCCUGUCCAGCCUAUUUACAGAGUUGUGCAACCAUCACCAUCUAUGGACUUCCAGACAAUUUUCAUCAUCCCAAAAGGAAACCUCGUACUCAUUUGCAGUGACUUCCAUUUCCCUCUUCUCUGGAAACCACUAACCUGCUUUCUGUCUUAUGGAUUUGAUUCACCUAUUCAGGGUAAUUAUCACAAAUGAAAUCUUACAAUAUGU
Molecule: long non-coding RNA, 1334 nt
Organism: Felis catus (domestic cat)
Lineage: Eukaryota; Metazoa; Chordata; Mammalia; Carnivora; Felidae
Exons: 2
Source: RefSeq, a predicted model, not a curated record